AGGGCGUGUUUGACAACGAUGUUGCCAAAGCUGACGCCUUUCAGGCGUGCUGUUCGGAUAUACUGCGCCGUCAUAACUUCGGCCAUCGACGCCCGCGUCAUACGCGCGAUGUAGCCCAUGCCAUAAAGCGAGAUGGUGAGGACCGGCAGAAAGAAAUUCUCGAAAUUCGC
RNAcentral lists this non-coding RNA (170 nucleotides) under uncultured Marivita sp. RNAcentral's name for it is "Ruegeria cis52 sRNA". It matches the Rfam family "Ruegeria cis52 sRNA". From Rfam's summary of the family: Cis-encoded. The record is from RNAcentral. Lineage: Bacteria; Pseudomonadati; Pseudomonadota; Alphaproteobacteria; Rhodobacterales; Roseobacteraceae.